AGGCUUUUCAAUGCUUUGUUUCCAAUAAUCCAAUAUGUGAUUCCAAAAUGGACCAAAAGGGACCACUCCUUUACAAAAAAAAUCAAACAUUUCUUCAAUGGAAUUAGUAUCUUUAUGAUGAAGUCUUAAAUUGUUUGCAAAAUGCAGGGUAGAAAUAAAAGUAUCCCUUGGAUUUCUACAUAAGUAAACAAGUUUGUUUCUUGAAUCUUGAACAGACUUUGGUAAUGAUGUAUAGGGCAAAUGAGUUGACAAGAGUCUAGGCGAAGUGAAGAAUGAAAAAUUAGGGUUAUGACCAAGUUCAAAUUCAAAGGAUGGCACAAGUUCAUGAGAGUUCUUGACAAAUAAAGGGUGAUUUUGUUCAAAAAUAGAAUAUUUCUUUCGAUUUAUUAGAGCAAAUAAAAGUGAUUUUAACCAAGUGGUUCCUGAUUUAGGAUUUGUAACAAGGAUAAUAUCGCUAUCACGAGCUUGAAAUUGUUGUUGACAUGCAAUCAUACCUUGGAUUACUAUUGGUAUCAUCCAAACACCUUGGUAAUUGUAGAUAUAUGAUCCAA
RNAcentral lists this long non-coding RNA (551 nucleotides) under Capsicum annuum. Its description in RNAcentral is "long non-coding RNA (CANN_LNC018097)". Lineage: Eukaryota; Viridiplantae; Streptophyta; Magnoliopsida; Solanales; Solanaceae. The record is from RNAcentral.